CCAACCUGUAACCCCUACACUCCAAUUCAUUAACCAUUUGGUAUUUUUGAGAUAUCCAGUAUAUGUAUUAUAUUGAAUAUAUGUCAUUUGAUCGGCUAUAGGGCUUCAUCUAAUGGCCUAUGACAUCACACAUGUGACAUCACGGAAUGUCUCCUAUGUUCACCCACCGGCAUGAAACUUCUCUCAGAUCUGUGGAGUUGAGCAGUAAGUCCAGUUGUCUUUAUCUCCUGUUCCUUAUUAUUUCUGAUCUUCUACCUACUGGAUAUGUUUUCCCGUCCUAUGACAAGCCCUCUGUACUCUCUCGCCAUUCUGAUCUCCUCCAUAUCUGACCAGUGAUAAUAAUAUGAUAUAGAGAAGAUCUUACCAGAAAGUCCAUAAUCAUGUUUUCUGUUUUAUUUUUAUUUCAAGGAUUUUUCCGAGCUUUGGAAAGAGAAAUUCGCAAGAAAAAAUGGCAAAUUACGGUCUCAAGUCCUGGACCAGCAUCCAGAAUUUGGAUGAAGAUGAGCCGGCAGAGAUCAUCAC
Molecule: long non-coding RNA, 522 nt
Organism: Hyla sarda
Lineage: Eukaryota; Metazoa; Chordata; Amphibia; Anura; Hylidae
Exons: 3
Source: RefSeq, a predicted model, not a curated record